Molecule: ribosomal RNA, 521 nt
Filed under: Stemonitis axifera
Lineage: Eukaryota; Evosea; Eumycetozoa; Stemonitida; Stemonitidae
Also listed under: 1 other name
Description: partial small subunit ribosomal RNA
Source: RNAcentral
UUCUCCUGAAUCUGCGAACGGCUCCGCAAACCAGCUGCAAUUCAGACCAUAUCCAGUGCGAGAUCAGCUGUCUCGGUGGGCUCCGGCUUAUUGAGCGGUCCUCGCACCCUGGUUCUCCCUGGCAAUUCUGGGGCUAAUACGAGAGAGACUGUCCUUUGUUUUGGCUGCCUCCCAAUGCCAUUCAACUCUCCGCUCCGGUGGAGGGGGUAGCGGGAUCAAAGGUGGCUAGGGCGAGGGGCUGUGUGUUAGGCUUGCAAUUGUUACGGAACGAGCACACUCCGCCGGUCCUUGUGCCGCCGUUGGCUCCACGCAAGUGGUGCUGCGGCGGAGGGUUUGCAGGCAUCCCGGAACCGAGUACAUGCCUUAUGGGUAGUGCCGGCUCUUGAGCGGUGUCAGUACGCCUAGAGGCCUAUGGGAAUGAUGUGUUGUCUAAUAAUUGUUCGGCAGGAGGAGGGACGUGGUAAGGUUGCGACGGGUACAGAGGAUUAGGGUUCGAUCCUGGAGAGUGGGCCUGAGAGAUU